AGUGAACGCUGGCGGCAGGCCUAACACAUGCAAGUCGAGCGGCAGCGGGUUCCCGCGAGGGGAUGCCGGCGAGCGGCGGACGGGUGAGGAACACAUCGGAAUCUGCCUGGUUGUGGGGGGAUAACGUAGGGAAACUUACGCUAAUACCGCAUGCGACCCUGAGUCGACGGACUGGGGGUGAAAGUGGAGGGACCUUCGGGCCUCACGCGACCAGAUGA
This 218-nucleotide ribosomal RNA is filed under the name uncultured bacterium. RNAcentral describes it as "partial 16S ribosomal RNA". It matches the Rfam family "Bacterial small subunit ribosomal RNA", at positions 30 to 228 of the family's 1533-position model. The record is from RNAcentral.